RNAcentral lists this ribosomal RNA (253 nucleotides) under uncultured bacterium. Its description in RNAcentral is "partial 16S ribosomal RNA". It matches the Rfam family "Bacterial small subunit ribosomal RNA", at positions 524 to 776 of the family's 1533-position model. The record is from RNAcentral.
GACAGAGGGGGCAAGCGUUGCUCGGAAUCACUGGGCGUAAAGGGCGCGUAGGCGGGAUGGCAAGUCGGUCAUGAAAUCCUUCGGCUUAACCGGGGAACUGCAUCUGAUACUGGAUGGCUUGAGAUUGGGAGAGGGAUGCGGAAUUCCAGGUGUAGCGGUGAAAUGCGUAGAUAUCUGGAGGAACACCGGUGGCGAAGGCGGCAUCCUGGACCAACACUGACGCUGAGGAGCGAAAGCCAGGGGAGCAAACGGG